GUCUACGGCCAAACCACCCUGAAUUUACCCAGUCUCAUCUGAUCUCGGAAGCAAAGCAGGGUAUGGCCUGGUGAGUACUCAGAUGGGAGACCACCUGGGAAUACCAGGUGCUGUAGGCU
Molecule: ribosomal RNA, 119 nt
Organism: Camelus dromedarius (Arabian camel)
Lineage: Eukaryota; Metazoa; Chordata; Mammalia; Artiodactyla; Camelidae
Source: Ensembl